RNAcentral lists this long non-coding RNA (305 nucleotides) under Panax ginseng (ginseng). RNAcentral's name for it is "long non-coding RNA (PGIN_LNC011284)". The record is from RNAcentral. Lineage: Eukaryota; Viridiplantae; Streptophyta; Magnoliopsida; Apiales; Araliaceae.
GAAAUUGAAUUUUGGUGUUUCUUUUGCAGCAGGAAAUUUACAUGUCCAACCUUGAUUUCCUUGAAGAAAAUGAUGAUGAAGUGGACCUAACAUGAUGUACACUUCAUUCUAUCUAGUUCGUUGUUAUUCUUUCAGUUUUCUUGUGUUAGUUAUUAAAUAUUGUAAGUACUAUGAUCUUUGGGAGAUCAAGACAUAAUAACAAAUUUUGUACUUAUCGUGACUUGAGCAUUAUCUAUUUAUAUAUGGAGUAUUAGUUUUAAUUAUUGGCUCUUUAUGCAUUAGUUUAUCAAUUAGUUUGAAAUAGG